This 547-nucleotide ribosomal RNA is filed under the name uncultured marine eukaryote. RNAcentral's name for it is "SSU rRNA". It matches the Rfam family "Eukaryotic small subunit ribosomal RNA", at positions 4 to 565 of the family's 1831-position model. The record is from RNAcentral.
CUGGUUGAUCCUGCCAGUAGUCAUAUGCUUGUCUCAAAGAUUAAGCCAUGCAUAUCUAAGUAUAAGUUUUUUACUGCGAAACUGUGAAUGGCUCAUUAUAACAGUUAUUAUUUCCUAGCCGGUCAGUUAUUCCUUGGAUACCCAUGGUAAUUCUAGAGCUAAUACAUGCUUACAGACCCAACUUCACGGAAGGGUUGCGCUUAUUAGAUACCGAACCAACCCCGCAAGGGAUUUAGUUGAUUCAUAGUGUUCUGGCGAAUCGACUUUUAGUCGAUGAGGCUAUCAAGUUUCUGACCUAUCAGCUUCCGACGGUAGGGUAUUGGCCUACCGUGGCUUUGACGGGUAACGGAGAAUUAGGGUUCGAUUCCGGAGAGGGAGCCUGAGAAACGGCUACCACAUCUAAGGAAGGCAGCAGGCGCGUAAAUUACCCAAUCCUGACACAGGGAGGUAGUGACAAGAAAUAUCAAUAUAAGACAUUUGUGUCUUGUAAUUGGGAUGAGCGGAACCUAAAUCGCUUCUCGAGUAUCAAUUGGAGGGCAAGUCUGGU